UGUUUAUUCCGGAGUCAGAAAAAAGUUUCUCCUCUGCGCUAUUGGCGCUAUUACUUCUUGCUAUUGAGAUAUUCUAUUAUUCAAGUUAAUCGCUUAAGAAGUGGUUGGUUGUGAGUACAUUAAUAUUAGACAAUGUGUCCCAUUGUAGAAAACAUUUAGUUAUUUUUGCGAGCUUCCAACAAACAGAUUCAUCCCCAAUUGUAUUAUGAAAGCCGUAAGUCUGAAUAGCAGAAAUCCUCCAUUGGGGAUCAGAUAUAAAAAUGCUGCAAUGAAAUAAGGACUGUUUUACAUCCCCUCAGCGAGGAUUUCUCAAAAUGGGGACACUCAUAGAAUUGUCUGGGAUUAGAUAUUUAGCUCUGAGUGCAGUAAAGUUGAUUAAGCAAAAGAUCACCUUGCUUAUUGUCACCAGCCACACUUUUCAAUUUUCCCUCUAAAAGGCAAUUUUUGAAAUUUUCAACAAAAAGAAUAUGAAUAUGAGAGGAUAUUUAGUAGACCAACAGCUUUGGACAAGUAUGCUUUUAAUUAAUUGUCUACUAAGGGGCAAAAAGAUAGAUUCCCUCGACAGCUCAAUUUAACGGAUUUAACGGAAACGACAUCAGGACAAUUCCAUAGUUCGUGAGUAUUUUGCCAGAUUUCACUACAAUUCGUCGGAUAUAUUUGCGAGAGAUUAUUCAUAAGGAAGUUGAUCAUCAUUCAUCACACUAUUGUAGUCAAUAAUGAAAGACUUCCUAUUCCUGAACAUCUCUUUCAUUUUUCUAGUAUUGGGAUCCAGGAGAUGGGUUUACCAAAUACUGUCAUGAAUGAUUUAACAGCCUGUCCGCCUGAGACAUUUGAGCAUCUCUUGGGCAAUACUAUAUUUGUAGUGGAUCAGCGGAAUCAGCUCAUAAUCUUGGAAAAAAACAAGAUUUCAGCAAGAAAUUCGAGCUCUCGUUUCUCAAGAGUACAGAAUCCAUGUAAAAAUUGCCUACAAGGCUGCUUCUUCUGCUUGGCAGGAUGAAAGAAAAUCAGCCAGAGUCGGGACUCCAAGAAUGAACGAAUUUUACGAAUGUCGGAAAUCUUGUUAAUUAUCUGUAAGAUGUGGAGACUCAUCAGGCAACGCUUAAGUCCGGAAGAGCGUAAUGACGGAGAUUGAAGAGGUGCUCUCCCUGUAACGGAAGAUUACACCAUGUUGGUCAGGUCAGGAAUACGUUCCACGUACUCUUCUUGGCAAUGGCUGGGAUGCAAAUGAUGCCUUUCGUAAUGAGAACGAUGUCAGCUAAUAUCGUACUCUAAGUGCUCAACUUCCUCACCCUGAACACAAAUGGCGAUUUUUCCGGUGAUAGGUGUCUAAGGACGAAAUCUUCAGCUGGACUAACUCCAAAACAUAUCCAAAAAAUGAACGAAAUCGUCAGGGCCAAUUUUUUGCAAAGUCAAAAAAUCAUGUUUUUGGAGGGGAUAGAAGGGUGGGGGGUAAUUUGGGUAAGUUAGAUAGAGAAUGUUGACUUGUGGGGGUUCACUGAAGACCGGAAGUCAAUAUCUCUUACCGUUUAGCAGCCAGGAUGGAGAGAAGUUAACUUCUCGAACAUAAAUUCUUUUCUCGUCUUUUUCUCAUCUCAUAAUAAAAUUAAUUGAAUGUUCAACAGGUUAAGAAAUACACUUUUAGUAAUAAUCAUACUCUCUUCUUAUGAUCACGUAAAUCAUAAUUUCAAUUCAAAGGUGCACAUAGAUUUGAGGGAAAGUAUCUUUUCUGUCACAUAAGACUAAUAUAUAUUACAAAUUCUUUAUGUAUUAAUUAAUGCGAUUGAACUUUGAAUUCUUUUAUUUUCAGAAAUUGGCAUUUAAGUGUCCGUGUAAAUUCAUCCAUUGUUGAAAAUAACUACAAUAUUUGUAAAAGAGAAUGUUGAAUGCUUUUAAAAUAGUGUGCGACAUUUAAGAGGAGAGGCUGUUUUUAUUCUUGUUGAAUAUUUAUGAAUAAGAAAUAUAAGCUGAAAAUCAAGUUUAUAAAUACCAAAAGAAGACACCAUGGCAUGUUCAUGAUGAUGAUGAUGAGAAUAGCAAAUCUUAUUACACAA
Long non-coding RNA from Phlebotomus papatasi, 2051 nucleotides. RefSeq lists it as uncharacterized. Lineage: Eukaryota; Metazoa; Arthropoda; Insecta; Diptera; Psychodidae. The transcript has 4 exons. The record is from RefSeq and is a predicted model, not a curated record.